UUUUGCAGACACAUUCAGUGAAGAUUUGUUCUCAGGUUGAUCUGUGCAAUUUUGAUGGCACUCAUGGUGUCAAGUGAGGACUGGUUAGGAUCCUUGAACUAGCAGGAGAGACUGUCAUGCUAGCUUCUGGUACUGCCAUUGGAUAUGGUUCAACAUUGACUAUGACUGAUACAUCGAACAAGAUUAAGAAGAGGACAAAAGGAGAUGUUUCUGUACUGAAUCCUACUCUUAUAAUUUCAGUUCCUGCAAUUUUGGAUCGUAUCAGAGAUGCAGUGUUUAAGAAAGUUGGUGAGAAGGGUGGCCU
Zea mays is the source of this 304-nucleotide long non-coding RNA. RefSeq lists it as uncharacterized. NCBI's taxonomy places the organism in Eukaryota, Viridiplantae, Streptophyta, Magnoliopsida, Poales, Poaceae. The transcript has 3 exons. The record is from RefSeq and is a predicted model, not a curated record.